AUGAGAGGGCACCCUACUGCUAGAUCCCCUCAGGCUAUGUGUGAUAGAUGCAAGAACAGAGGGCAUCUUGCUGUGAUUUGCACCGAGUUUCUGCCAUGGGAGCAUGUCCCUGUGAUGUGUGCAUUUCAGAGCAAGGGGCAAAGAUUUUUCUAUAUUCCUGAUUUUAGCAUUGAUAGGCAAACUAGGGAGAGGAUCUAUAAUGUGGUGGUAACUAUUGUGGAGGGGUCAGCCCAAACCAAAGACAUCAAGCACGAAUUGAGUGUCUAUGUGGGUCAAGGGUGGAGGUGUUCUGCUAGGUUUUUUGCUCCUCAUAAGUUUGUGAUGAGAAUGCCUAAUCCUAGAGAGGUUGAUCGUGCUCUAUUUGUUGAACAUGUCAGACUUAAGAAAUGUGGUGUAGCUGUUAAAUUUUCUCCCUGGUCCGAGGAUAUUGACUCUGAGGGGCUCCUGGAAAUUGCUUGGGUUAGGAUUGGGAGAAUUCCCCCUAACAAGAGGUGUGAUAAAACUGCUGCUUAUGCGCGGGGGGGGGGGGGGUCUUGUGGGCAUAACCCUGGAGGUGGACAUGUCUACCAUAAAUCGCCCAUCCUCGGUUAG
Molecule: ribosomal RNA, 591 nt
Filed under: Triticum aestivum (bread wheat)
Lineage: Eukaryota; Viridiplantae; Streptophyta; Magnoliopsida; Poales; Poaceae
Description: partial small subunit ribosomal RNA
Source: RNAcentral